This is a long non-coding RNA of Helianthus annuus (common sunflower), 725 nucleotides long. RefSeq lists it as uncharacterized. The transcript has 4 exons. The record is from RefSeq and is a predicted model, not a curated record. NCBI's taxonomy places the organism in Eukaryota, Viridiplantae, Streptophyta, Magnoliopsida, Asterales, Asteraceae.
CGUUCCAAACCCUAAAUGCCACACAUUCUUUCUUCCUCUCCUCUUUACACCGUUGCUGCUUCUUCUACAUUCCUUUUUUUCGCCAAUGUCUUUCAUCGGUCUCACACUCAGAAUGAAAUUCCUUCUCCUUCGAUCUCCUUUCCUAUUUCACUAUAAACUAACCCUAUAAAUCUUUCAAGCAACACAACAUUCUCCGCCUUCGAUCUCUAAUCACAUCGAUGGAAAUUUUUAUCCUCAGGUAACCUUACAUGGCGAGUUGAAUCAAGUAAGCAACAGAAACCCUAAAUUGGAACCAGGUGAACUCUCAUCCAGUCAACCUUCAUUGAUGAACUGCCGAAGUAGAGAGACUGCAUUUCGUCUUGGGGUGCACACAAAUGGGGUAAAUGUAUAAUUUUUAUGCCAAGAAAGCACGAUAUCGAUCGGUUGGCAUAACGCGAUAUAUGUCAAGACCAGCGGGAGAAAAUGCUAUUGGGCUUUAGAGACUGUCGUUUCAAUGUUUUAGUAGCCACGGAUAUUUCUACUCACCGGACUUGAUGUUCCAAAUGUUGAUAUGGUCUGUCUUCUUCUUUUAUUAGGUAUAAAUUAUUUUCCAAUUUGGAUAUUGUGUUUUAUAAUCAAGUAAUUCAUUUUGUACUUCCACGGCCUUCAUAAGUUUUUGUUCACAGGUGUGGUCGUACAAGCCAGGCUAGGCUGGAAAGAAAGGAAGACCGUUUUAAUUCAUUCAU